AGAAUCAACGCUGGCGGCGUGCCUAACACAUGCAAGUCGAACGAGAAAGGGGUAGCAAUACCCUGAGUAAAGUGGCGCACGGGUGAGUAACACGUGACUAACCUACCCUGGAGUGGGGGAUAACUGAGGGAAACCUUAGCUAAUACCGCAUAAUACCUACGGGUCAAAGGAGCAAUUCGCUUUGGGAGGGGUCGCGGCCGAUUAGUUAGUUGGCGGGGUAAUGGCCCACCAAGACGAUGAUCGGUAUCCGGCCUGAGAGGGCGCACGGACACACUGGAACUGAAACACGGUCCAGACUCCUACGGGAGGCAGCAGUGGGGAAUUUUGCGCAAUGGGGGAAACCCUGACGCAGCAACGCCGCGUGGAGGAUGGAGUACUUCGGUACGUAAACUCCUUUCGAUCGGGACGAUUAUGACGGUACCGAGAGAAGAAGCCCCGGCUAACUUCGCGCCAGCAGCCGC
Molecule: ribosomal RNA, 461 nt
Filed under: uncultured bacterium
Lineage: Bacteria
Description: SSU rRNA
Rfam family: Bacterial small subunit ribosomal RNA
Source: RNAcentral